CUGCAUGAACCGCCAUUCAGCAUUUAAUUUACAUCAUAUAAAAGGAUAAACAGAUAAUUAUCAUGGAAUAAGUAUAUCAACAUACAUGGACUGCAAUAAAGCAUAACAUUAGUAACAUAUGAUCUAAAAAUAAAAUGAUAGACGACGUUAUUGUUCUUCUUGGUCACGCUGGUGCCAUUGAUUGAAUUCGUUUAACAAUUUAUUGAUUCGAUCUAAAAACAAAUCAUCGAUAUUAGCAGGCGUCUGACUAUUCCCAAAUCCCUGAGUGUUAGUGUUUUGUUGUGUUCCCAAUCUAAAAUCCCCGAAGAUUGUCCAUCCUUCACGCUCACCUGCAAUGUCGUGCUCAUCCCUACACUGUU
RNAcentral lists this long non-coding RNA (359 nucleotides) under Amborella trichopoda. Its description in RNAcentral is "long non-coding RNA (ATRI_LNC002801)". The record is from RNAcentral. Lineage: Eukaryota; Viridiplantae; Streptophyta; Magnoliopsida; Amborellales; Amborellaceae.